GAGGGGGGCUGCUCCUAGUACGAGAGGACCGGAGUGGACGCAUCACUGGUGUUCGGGUUGUCAUGCCAAUGGCAUUGCCCGGUAGCUAAAUGCGGAAGAGAUAAGUGCUGAAAGCAUCUAAGCACGAAACUUGCCCCGAGAUGAGUUCUCCCUGAGACUUUAAGUCUCCUGAAGGAACGUURAAGACKAYGACGUUGAUAGGUCGGGUGUGUAAGUGUAGCGAUACAUUGAGCUAACCGAUACUAAUGAACCGUGAGGCUUAACCUUACAACGCCGAAG
Molecule: ribosomal RNA, 279 nt
Filed under: Citrobacter freundii
Lineage: Bacteria; Pseudomonadati; Pseudomonadota; Gammaproteobacteria; Enterobacterales; Enterobacteriaceae
Description: partial 23S ribosomal RNA
Rfam family: Bacterial large subunit ribosomal RNA
Source: RNAcentral